AUUUGGCUCGCCUUGAGUGUCUUUGAAGAAUCCAGUGGACAGUAUGUCAUCACUCAGACCCCAACCUCUUUACAGAAAAAUCCUGGAGACACAGCCACCUUUCAGUGCAAAGCUUCCUCUUCAGUCAGUUCUUAUAUGAACUUCUAUCAGAUGAGACCAGGAGAAAAACCCAAGCUCCUGAUUUAUUAUGCUACCAACCGUUUUGAACAGACCCCCGAUCGCUUCAGUGGCAGCGGGAGUGGCACUGACUUCACAUUCACUAUCAAUGGUGUCCGUCCUGAGGAUGAAGCAGAGUAUUACUGUGGCCAAAGCUGGAGCAGACCUUUACACAGCCAGGCCUCCACUUUUCGUGUCCAGAUCCAAAUAAGCCGUAUUUCUAAAGAUGAGGAGAUAAACAGUGCUAAAUUCCUGGUGUAA
Non-coding RNA from Sceloporus undulatus (fence lizard), 417 nucleotides. Lineage: Eukaryota; Metazoa; Chordata; Lepidosauria; Squamata; Phrynosomatidae. The record is from the annotation of a RefSeq genome assembly.